AGCAAGGCAUGUGGUAGAUUGACCAUUUCCCACAAGAGUAUAACCUUGUAGAUUCAUUUACAGUAUGAACAUUAUUACCCCGAUUAUUAUGGAUAGCGGUGCGAACUUCAAAAUUACCUCUUUUGUUAUCAUAUUGCAAAAAGGAAUGCCAAUGUGCUCGCCGUAUGUAUUUUACAAGUCUCCGCAUAGGCACUGGAAUAAAU
RNAcentral lists this long non-coding RNA (203 nucleotides) under Nicotiana benthamiana. RNAcentral describes it as "long non-coding RNA (NBEN_LNC035548)". The record is from RNAcentral. Lineage: Eukaryota; Viridiplantae; Streptophyta; Magnoliopsida; Solanales; Solanaceae.